This 549-nucleotide ribosomal RNA is filed under the name Eiconaxius caribbaeus. RNAcentral's name for it is "partial large subunit ribosomal RNA". It matches the Rfam family "Bacterial large subunit ribosomal RNA", at positions 1809 to 2641 of the family's 2925-position model. The record is from RNAcentral. Lineage: Eukaryota; Metazoa; Arthropoda; Malacostraca; Decapoda; Axiidae.
AAAAACAUGUCUGUUUGAAUAUAAGAUCAGUCUGGCCUGUCCACUGUAAUAUUAAAGGGCUGCGGUAAUUUGACCGUGUGAAGGUAGCAUAAUCAUUAGUCUUUUAAUUGAAGACCUGUAUGAACGGUUGGACGAAAAAUUAACUGUCUUAAUGGUUUAAGUUGAAGUUAACUUUUAAGUGAAGAGGCUUAAAUAACUCUUAAAGACGAUAAGACCCUAUAAAACUUUACAUAUAUUAAUUAAUUUUAAUUAUUUGUAAAAAUUUUUAGAUUUGUGUUUCAUUGGGAAGAUGAAAGUAUAAACCUAGCUGCUUAGUUUUUAAUACAAAAAUAUUUGGGAUUAAUUGAUCCUUAAUAAGGAUAAAAGAAAAGUUACUUUAGGGAUAACAGCGUUAUUUUUUUUGAGAGUCCUUAUCGACAAAAAAGUUUGCGACCUCGAUGUUGAAUUAAAAUUUCUCUAUAAUGUAGCAGUUAUAAAGGUAAGUCUGUUCGACUUUUAAAAUUUUACAUGAUUUGAGUUCAAACCGGUGUAAGCCAGGUUGGUUUCUAU